Molecule: ribosomal RNA, 207 nt
Filed under: uncultured bacterium
Lineage: Bacteria
Description: partial 16S ribosomal RNA
Rfam family: Bacterial small subunit ribosomal RNA
Source: RNAcentral
CACGCGGCGGGCCUGUUAAGUCGGAUGUGAAAUCCCUCGGCUCAACUGAGGAAGUGCAUUCGAAACUGGCGGGCUUGAGUAUGGUAGAGGGUCGCGGAAUUCCCGGUGUAGAGGUGAAAUUCGUAGAUAUCGGGAGGAACACCAGUGGCGAAGGCGGCGACCUGGGCCAAUACUGACGCUCAUGUGCGAAAGCGUGGGGAGCAAACA